This 21-nucleotide unclassified non-coding RNA is filed under the name Mus musculus (house mouse). RNAcentral's name for it is "oocyte_clustered_small_RNA3387". Lineage: Eukaryota; Metazoa; Chordata; Mammalia; Rodentia; Muridae. The record is from RNAcentral.
UCUAUCCCGGUGCAAUGAGAC